This 250-nucleotide long non-coding RNA is filed under the name Cricetulus griseus (Chinese hamster). Its description in RNAcentral is "lncRNA (ENSCGRG00000024971.1)". Lineage: Eukaryota; Metazoa; Chordata; Mammalia; Rodentia; Cricetidae. The record is from RNAcentral.
GAAGUGACAUAACAAGGAGACUCAUUUAAAGAAGGAGAAACAGGAAGGGCCCUCUUUUUUCCCCUCUGCUCCUGCUCCAGCAGCACGAUGUGAUCCACCAGCCAGGAGGGACACCAACAAGGCAUCUGGAGGAGCUUAUUCCACAACACAUGUUUUCUCUCCUUCAACCAUACAGAUCCCAGGAAUCAGCGUGGAAUCAGACUCAGUGGCAAGCACUUUUAUUUCCUGAGGCAUUAUGCUCUUCCCAGAC